This is a long non-coding RNA of Perognathus longimembris pacificus (Pacific pocket mouse), 2033 nucleotides long. RefSeq lists it as uncharacterized. The transcript is spliced from 2 exons. The record is from RefSeq and is a predicted model, not a curated record. NCBI's taxonomy places the organism in Eukaryota, Metazoa, Chordata, Mammalia, Rodentia, Heteromyidae.
GGAAUGGAAUUAUGUUUCUCAUUAACCCAGUCGCUUCCCUUCAGCCCUGCUUUCAUUCUAAAAAAAAAAAACAAACAAACAAAAAAAAAAACCUCAAUAUACAUACAUGAUUCUCUUUCAUGCUUUUUAGCCCUUGGUUUGUGUGUCUGUAGCUAAUAGAAUGGCUAAUGAGGUAUGUUUAAUAUUUAGCUUUAACAACUCUGAGCCAGGAGCCAGUGGCUCACACCUGUAAUCCUGGCUACUCAGGAAGGUGAAAUCAGAAUAAUCAACUGUUUAAGGCCAGCCCACACAGAAAUGACUCUGAGUUCAAAUUCCAGUACCAGUAGCACCGAAGAAAAAAGUCAUUCUCUUCAUGCAAUAAUCGAACACAAGGACAAAUCAAAAAGUGACAAAUACAUUUGCUAUGGUGCUAAAACUAUGUUCCAAAAAACUAAACAUGCAGGUUUAUAUUGUUGGGAUGUUUGCCUUAAUGUCAUUUUCUAUAGAUUUACUAAAUACCCUGCUGUCUAUUUGUCUAUUUGCAAUGAUGGAGGGGGGGAGACCAUGGUUUUUAAAAUGUGUUCUAAUUUACGAAAAAUGGAAACAGUACAAUUUUCAGAACAUAUUUUUAAGCAAUCUAUUUACUGUUGGAUUUAUUUUGAAAUGAAGUAGUAAGAAGAAAACACACACGCGCGCGCGCGCACACACACACACACACCCCAGGACUGACACAUACACACAAAACUGUCUCAUUAACUUUCCUGGCCCAGACUAACUUUGAACUACAAAUCUCAAAUCUCAGCCUUCUGAGUAGCCAGGAUUACAGACAUGAGCCACAAGUACCUGCUUCAUGUUGAGUUGUUAAAUAUGCUAAAAUAACGUGAGAAUGCCCAAAAGUCAAAGGAUAUUUCUUGGUUUUAGAAUACACAAACUCUUCAAUAUCUCAAAACUUUGACUCAUUGCUGUACAGUACAGGGAGGCCAGUCUGUGUCUGCUCCCUUUCUGACUCCUGCUCUUGGCCUUCCUUCCUCCAUGUGUGACAUGGCUCACGCUUGGCUCCCAAUCCUCUUCCACCUUCCAUGUUUUUCAUAUCAUUCAUAUUUCUUAACACAUCACUAUCUCUUCCACUCUGGAAGUGGUUCUAAUACAGUAUGUCUAAAAUUCAAAUUGCUGAAGAGCCACCACCCCCCAGCACAAGCAAAGCCUUUUCUAGAAUGCUCGUGAUAACACUAUUUUCUUCAUUCAGCUACACCCAAAGCCUUAGAAUUAUCUUCAACAUCUGCUUGCUGCAUCAGCUGUCACACUUACCAAUGCUCGUUUCUGUUUUCAUCUACUCUGCUGGUAUGAGGAAAUAAGGCAAUAUUUACUUCAGACAUAAUGAACAAUGAUUGCUGACGGGUUUAUAGAAACCUCCAGGGAGAGUGGCGAUGUCCCCCACACAGCUAUCAGACGUGUAUGGAAAACAAUACACAAGCAAUGUAUUUUUAAGUAACUAUGGACUUUAUCUAACAGUAAAGAGGUUUCAAGAGAGAUGGAACAAAAUGAAAUGAAGUAUCUAAAGAAAUCAAGGUACUUGGUAGGGUUUUGUGCUCUAAAUACUCAUGUGUUAGGGAUCUUGGUCUCGGUAACACUCUUAUAUUUACAAAGUUGACCUGCUUCAUAUAUUUUAUUAUAGUAACAAAGCACUGGUUGUUCAGGUUUUCUAAUAAGAGAUAGGAAGAAGGUCCCAUAAUUAAGGCUGUAUGUAUGUUUACAUAUCCAAAACAGAAAUACAUUAAUAGUCAUGAAAGUUAACAGUCACAACAAACCAAGUCUUAGAUUUUAAUAUCAAGUAAAGGGACGCCUUUCAGCAAUUCUAGGAUUGAGCAUAAGGAAAGGAAUGGUUCGCUGCAGAUAGGUGGGGUUAAGAUUUGUUAGGGAAUAAGUUUGUUAACUGAUAACAAAAAGAAAGCAGAACUACUUCACCCCUCUUGUGGUUCUAUCUUCCCUGGAAAAGGAAGGAAGGACCAACAUAGUGAACAAGAAACUAAAGCUGAAGUUAGAGAAGAUGAACA